This 254-nucleotide ribosomal RNA is filed under the name uncultured bacterium. RNAcentral's name for it is "partial 16S ribosomal RNA". It matches the Rfam family "Bacterial small subunit ribosomal RNA", at positions 524 to 776 of the family's 1533-position model. The record is from RNAcentral.
GACAGAGGUGCCGAGCGUUAGGCGGAAUCACUGGGCUUAAAGGGCGCGUAGGCGGCCAGCACAAGUCAGUUGUGAAAUCUCCGAGCUUAACUCGGAACGGUCAACUGAUACUGUGCGGCUAGAGUGCGGAAGGGGCAACUGGAAUUCUUGGUGUAGCGGUGAAAUGCGUAGAUAUCAAGAGGAACACCUGCGGCGAAGGCGGGUUGCUGGGCCGACACUGACGCUGAGGCGCGAAAGCCAGGGGAGCGAACGGG